RNAcentral lists this ribosomal RNA (503 nucleotides) under uncultured bacterium. RNAcentral's name for it is "partial 16S ribosomal RNA". It matches the Rfam family "Bacterial small subunit ribosomal RNA", at positions 30 to 523 of the family's 1533-position model. The record is from RNAcentral.
AUUGAACGCUGGCGGCAGGCUUAACACAUGCAAGUCGAGCGGGGUGAUGGUGCUUGCACUAUCACUUAGCGGCGGACGGGUGAGUAAUGCUUGGGAAUCUGCCUAUUAGUGGGGGACAACAUCUCGAAAGGGAUGCUAAUACCGCAUACGUCCUACGGGAGAAAGCAGGGGAUCACUUGUGACCUUGCGCUAAUAGAUGAGCCUAAGUUGGAUUAGCUAGUUGGGGGGGUAAAGGACUACUAAGGCGACGAUCUGUAGCGGGUCUGAGAGGAUGAUCCGCCACACUGGGACUGGUACACGGCCCAGACUCCUACGGGAGGCAGCAGUGGGGAAUAUUGGACAAUGGGGGGAACCCUGAUCCAGCCAUGCCGCGUGUGUGAAGAAGGCCUUAUGGUUGUAAAGCACUUUAAGCGAGGAGGAGGCUCUUUUGGUUAAUACCCAAGAUGAGUGGACGUUACUCGCAGAAUAAGCACCGGCUAACUCUGUGCCAGCCGCCGCAGUAA